RNAcentral lists this ribosomal RNA (518 nucleotides) under uncultured bacterium. Its description in RNAcentral is "bacterial SSU rRNA". It matches the Rfam family "Bacterial small subunit ribosomal RNA", at positions 28 to 536 of the family's 1533-position model. The record is from RNAcentral.
GAUGAACGCUAGCGAUAGGCCUAACACAUGCAAGUCGAGGGGCAUCACAUGAAGUAGCAAUACGGAUGGUGGCGACCGGCGCACGGGUGAGUAACACGUAUGCAACCUGCCUUCAACAAGGGGAUAACCCGUUGAAAGACGGACUAAUACCCUAUAACACAGGGGUCCCGCAUGGGAAUAUUUGUUAAAGGACAACCGGUUGAAGAUGGGCAUGCGUUCCAUUAGCUAGUUGGCGGGGUAACGGCCCACCAAGGCAACGAUGGAUAGGGGAACUGAGAGGUUUAUCCCCCACACUGGUACUGAGACACGGACCAGACUCCUACGGGAGGCAGCAGUGAGGAAUAUUGGUCAAUGGACGCAAGUCUGAACCAGCCACGUCGCGUGAAGGAAGACGGCCCUACGGGUUGUAAACUUCUUUUAUACGGGGAAUAAAGUGCCCCACGCGUGGGGUUUUGCAUGUACCGUAUGAUAAGGAUCGGCUAACUCCGUGCCAGCAGCCGUCGGUAAAUACUGACUCA